UGCCAGCCGCCGCGGUAAUACGGAGGGUGCAAGCGUUAUCCGGAUUUAUUGGGUUUAAAGGGUGCGUAGGCGGAAUAAUAAGUCAGUGGUGAAAUCCUGCGGCUCAACCGUAGAACUGCCAUUGAUACUGUUAUUCUUGAAUAUAGUUGAGGUAGGCGGAAUGUGUAAUGUAGCGGUGAAAUGCUUAGAUAUUACACAGAACACCGAUUGCGAAGGCAGGUGACUAACCAUGUACUGACGCUGAUGGACGAAAGCGUGGGGAGCGAACAGGAUUAGAUA
RNAcentral lists this ribosomal RNA (279 nucleotides) under uncultured bacterium. RNAcentral describes it as "partial 16S ribosomal RNA". It matches the Rfam family "Bacterial small subunit ribosomal RNA", at positions 506 to 784 of the family's 1533-position model. The record is from RNAcentral.